AUGAACCUCACAUAUCUCGUCCUCACUGUCUGCCUGGGCCACCUCCUGGGCACCAUGGGACAGAUCAUUGUCAACCAGGAAGAAGGACGAGUCCUGGUAAAGGAGAGAGACCCCUUCCACGCCACCUGUACAUACCAGACCAGAACCUUUUACGGAUUGCUGUGGUACCAGCAGAGGAAAGGACAAGCCCCACAGCUGCUCUCCUUCCAGGCAGGGGCUGGCCAGAGGCAGAGCGGCCGUAUCAGCACGUUGCUGAACACCACGGGCAAAUACAGUGUCCUGCAGGUGGAGGCAGUGGAGGUCUCUGACAGUGCCUUGUACCUGUGUGCUGUGCGAGACACCCUGGUG
Molecule: non-coding RNA, 348 nt
Organism: Empidonax traillii (willow flycatcher)
Lineage: Eukaryota; Metazoa; Chordata; Aves; Passeriformes; Tyrannidae
Source: the annotation of a RefSeq genome assembly